Molecule: ribosomal RNA, 428 nt
Filed under: Uncinaria lucasi
Lineage: Eukaryota; Metazoa; Nematoda; Chromadorea; Rhabditida; Ancylostomatidae
Description: partial 12S ribosomal RNA
Source: RNAcentral
AUAAUUAUGUUUGAAAUUUUUAUAUAAUUAUAGGUUAAAUUUUAAUUAUUUAAAAUGUAUAGUUAUAAUUUUAAAUUUUGUUAAUCGAAUUAGAUUAGUACCUAAUUAGUCAAAAGUUAAAAAAGCAGAAGUAAAGUAAAAUUUAAACUGAAAGAAUAUUGGCAGAUUUUCUAAAUUAUCUUUGGAGGUUGAGUAAUAAUUGAGAACCCUCAUUAACUACUUUUUUAGUUGUCUCAUGUAUGAUCGUUUAUUAUAUGCUUAAGGGAUAUAAUUAAAAAUUUUUAUUUAAAAAAAUAGAUAUAUAUUUGGUUUAUAUAAAAGUAAUAUUUGACCUACAGUAAUUUGUAAUUGUGGAUCUAUUUUUUAGUAAAGUAGUGAAAAUGUAAAAGACAGUAAAAAAAUUUUUAUGAUUUUUUGAAGAUUAUUUA